GACGAACGCUGGCGGCGUGCCUAAUACAUGCAAGUAGAACGCACAGUUUAUACCGUAGCUUGCUACACCAUAGACUGUGAGUUGCGAACGGGUGAGUAACGCGUAGGUAACCUGCCUGGUAGCGGGGGAUAACUAUUGGAAACGAUAGCUAAUACCGCAUAAUAUUAAUUAUUGCAUGAUAAUUAAUUGAAAGGUGCAAUUGCACCACUACCAGAUGGACCUGCGUUGUAUUAGCUAGUAGGUGAGGUAACGGCUCACCUAGGCGACGAUACAUAGCCGACCUGAGAGGGUGAUCGGCCACACUGGGACUGAGACACGGCCCAGACUCCUACGGGAGGCAGCAGUAGGGAAUCUUCGGCAAUGGAAGAAAGUCGGACCGAGCAACGCCGCGUGAGUGAAGAAGGUUGUCGGAUCGUAAAGCUCUGUUGUAAGAGAAGAACGGGUGUGAGAGUGGAAAGUUCACACUGUGACGGUAUCUUAACAGAAAGGGACGGCUAACUACGUG
This 505-nucleotide ribosomal RNA is filed under the name uncultured bacterium. RNAcentral describes it as "partial 16S ribosomal RNA". It matches the Rfam family "Bacterial small subunit ribosomal RNA", at positions 28 to 507 of the family's 1533-position model. The record is from RNAcentral.